This 245-nucleotide ribosomal RNA is filed under the name uncultured bacterium. Its description in RNAcentral is "partial small subunit ribosomal RNA". It matches the Rfam family "Bacterial small subunit ribosomal RNA", at positions 26 to 285 of the family's 1533-position model. The record is from RNAcentral.
AGAAUCAACGCUGGCGGCGUGCCUAACACACGCAAGUCGCACGAGAAAGGGGAGCAAUCCCUGAGUAAAGUGGCGCACGGGUGAGUAACACGUGAAUAAUCUACCUCCGAGUGGGGAAUAACUGAGAGAAAUCUUAGCUAAUACCGCAUAACACUUACGAGUCAAAGCAGCAAUGCGCUUGGAGAGGAGUUCGCGGCCGAUUAGUUAGUUGGCGGGGUAAUGGCCCACCAAGACGAUGAUCGGUA